RNAcentral lists this ribosomal RNA (253 nucleotides) under uncultured bacterium. Its description in RNAcentral is "partial 16S ribosomal RNA". It matches the Rfam family "Bacterial small subunit ribosomal RNA", at positions 524 to 776 of the family's 1533-position model. The record is from RNAcentral.
UACGAAGGGGGCUAGCGUUGUUCGGAAUCACUGGGCGUAAAGCGCACGUAGGCGGAUCUUUAAGUCAGGGGUGAAAUCCCGAGGCUCAACCUCGGAACUGCCUUUGAUACUGGAGAUCUCGAGUCCGGGAGAGGUGAGUGGAACUGCGAGUGUAGAGGUGAAAUUCGUAGAUAUUCGCAAGAACACCAGUGGCGAAGGCGGCUCACUGGCCCGGAACUGACGCUGAGGUGCGAAAGCGUGGGGAGCAAACAGG